AAAUAUUUCUUGAUUUUUAAUAUAAAACUAUUUAAAAGUUAAACGGUAUUUAUUGUACACGAAUGCACACAUAUACGUUGAUAAUGAAGUCGGACGUAUAGAAAAUCAUGGUAGUUUAAACGUAACAGUAGUUUAGUUACGAAAUAUACGUAUAUUAUAUAUUUUAUAUUAUUUUCGAACUGUUGAGAAAAAUAAUGCGGUAUGGCGAAGGACAAUUUAUAAUUCCCGCUAAAAAUUCGUAAAGAUACGAAUGUUAGUUUUUACUAAAUACACCCUUUUGAUUGGAGAAUAUUUAUCGUAUAGCGCCAUCUCGGACUGCAUAGCGUCGGCGCGAUAGGAAAGCCGGUGGUUAGUCGCUUUCGAACCAUCGCCUCGUACGUUCGUGCGCGUUCGUUGAAUUUUGAUUUCUGCAAUUUAUGACUCGAUUUAUGUGAUAAAAAAACUAUUGGGAUUGAUUGACCAUUCCAAACAAAGUGCAAAAUUCGGAUAAGAAAGGAGAUUUUUUUGAAAUAAGGACGAGAAUGAAAAAGGGUGGAAAUGUCGCACUUGAUUCGUUGGAUUUCGUUUGAAUGAAAAAUGUCCUCGUUGUGAGCCGAUUAAGAAGACGAGGUGCGAUGUUGCAAAGAUCUUCGCCAUGAGCGAAAGCCGGGUUUACACCGGUCCAGCCACGCUCGCCGAACGUCAACCGUUCAGCAGGAAUGGGAAGGCACUCAGAGGUUCGAAGAAAAGCGUAUUGUUUUAUACGACAGAUUGCGGCGACGAUAAAGACGAUCGCGGUGGUGUUAAACUGGAGCAACGAUCGGUCUCAUUGACCGCUCUACAUACCAAUACCGGUGCCCAGCAACAACUAUUGGAGCCGAGAAUGGCGCAACUGGAGACCUUGGAGGCGAAGAUGGCGAGUAUUGAAGUAUCCCUUUCGACGACACCGAGAAGAAAGAAGGGUGGUAGUCUAGCUGGUGGGGUGACGUCUUCCGCCGGUCACCGUAAUAAAGAUCAUUAUAAAGAACUCGACGCCCUUCGUGUAGCCCUUCGCGAUAAGGAAAAUAUUAUACAGACACUGAAGGGUCAAUUGUGCAAUAGCUUGAGCAACCGACUAGCCUUGCGAAAUGGUGCUGCACCACCCUUGACCGAGGCUGACAGGAAAGCUACCGAGGAAAGACUUCAAAGGCUGAGACGUGACGCAGACAACAAGAGAUUGGCUAUAAAGAAUCUUAAACUAGCUUUGGAACGUCUGGAUAUAACCGAUAACAUCGACGUUCGCAUACAACAAGCAGAACUGGAAUACAGGCUAGGUCGCGAAGAACUCGAGCUUUUGACUUUACGCGAAGAGAGCAGGACUCUUCAGACGGCGUUGGAAUUGGCAGAAACCCAGGAGAAACGGAAAAAUGAUACCAUAUACAGCUGUAUUUCCGGGUCAACGCAAGUCACCGUACAUGCCGUCGAAGUCAGUGCCGAUCCAAAGAGUCCUCGUUUCGGUGCUGGACCAAGAGACGAGAUGCCUGGCCUUUAUGUCGAUUGGGCCGUUGAAGAUUCUGGUCUUUGCAAGGGAGACAGGAUACUCGAGGUGAACGGGAAACUCGUUGUUGGAGCUAACAAAAACGAUCUGACGAGACUCUUAGCUGUCGCACCGGACGCGGCACAGAUCGUAGUAUUACGAAAAGGCGAGUCACUCGCUGCACUGCGGACACUUAGAUCCGAUAACUUAAGACUGACGCAUAGAAUCGGAUAUCUCGAGGAACAAGUUAGGGAUUUACUAGCACCGACCAGAGCCGAACUUCGUGCGACAGAUUUGUCAUUGACCAGUCAAGAACAUGUUCAGGUUUUUCAAAAAGGUCCUCAAGUAACGGCGCUAGUCGCUAAUUUAUCCAGUCCUAAGAUUAGAAAUCCAACGGAAUUAAGACAAAGUUUGCCAACUAUGAGAAGCAGACAAAACGAUCAUGGUAGGCACUUUACCACAUCGAGGAGUCCCAAGGAGAAUGAUUUCUUUUCCGACGGGGUGUCUUAUAGUCAUCAGAAGCCGAGGAAUCGGCAGAAACAUCAAGCUUUUCCAUUAGCCAGAUCAACAGCUAGUCUUGAUUGCAAACAGACACAAUCUCAAUUACAGCGUAGAAGAUUGGCUACGAUUGAGUCGGGAAUGGAAAGUCGGAAAAGUCAACAGUUGCAGACUUUGGAGUUUGAUUCCGAACCUACUUAUUAUCGUCAGGACUCUCAAUCACGUGUUUCCGAAAAUUCAGAAAUUCUGAGCACGUACAGUUCGCAAGAAACUAAAAUUCGACCGGCACCACCUAAAAAACCGCUCAGGCUUUCUCUUCAUCGCGCGGCGAGUCUUCAAUCCGUCGAAAGUGCACCGCCUGCGGCAGCGACUCUUCACGAAAGCUCUCGUAAAUCGUCCAAGAGGAACCACCGCGGUGAGCUACCUUCCGUGGAAAAGAGUUCAACGAUGGAAGGAAAUCAAGAGACAAACCAUAGAAUACAGGAAAUGCAACUUGAUCUUUCACAGCAACCGCCACCACCGCCAAGGACGCCUUCCAGAGCGGAAUCUUGCCAGAAUGCCUUGCGGUGGCCUUCGCCAAAGCCACGAUCACAUUUGGCUUCUGUAUCAACGGAAAAAUGGUGUUGAGUGUAUUGAAAUAAACACUGGACGAAAUAUCCAAGAAGAAGAUAGAAAUACUCAAUGAAUUGUGACUUGUCGUUCACAUAUUUCACUUACGAUUAGAUAUAGAAUGUAUUUCAUCAAUAUGUAGAGAAUCUCUCGAAGACAACGAAAAGAUUACGUUGACUCAAGACACUUUUCUGGACUGUUUUGUAAAAUAUCAUUAUUCGGAGAAGAGGAACAAGGGCAGCUGUAAAUCAUAUCAAAGUACAACCUUCGGGAAUCUUAAGCAAGAACGUAUAAAUGCAACGAGCAUGGCAGGUGGCUCCGUACGAAAAUCGUCACUACCACCACCACCAACGGGCAUCGUCUCACCACCACUUUCAGCAGCCACCAAUAGUACCACUGUCGUUGCUACCUUUACCACCACCACCAUCAACACUAUCACUACCACCACCACUGCUAGUACCCCAUCUAGCAGCAGCAGCACCAGCAACAAGGAAGGGUGGUUAUGGCAGAAUCUCCAUCCCUCGACUGUGUUCUACCCCUUCUCUAUUUCUCGUCCUUUCCUCUCUCUCUCUCUCUCUCUCUCUCUCUCUCUCUCUCUCUCUCUCUCUCUCUCUCUUUUUACUUCUCGACUCGCCCCUCUACAACAGACGUACGGCAACCCCGGCGUUCAGUGCUGGCGCUUCCUCCGUACAAGUCGUGUUGCGAGUCUGGACCAGCAGUAUCUAUCUUUCUCUCUCGAAUUCG
Molecule: unclassified non-coding RNA, 3346 nt
Organism: Vespa mandarinia (Asian giant hornet)
Lineage: Eukaryota; Metazoa; Arthropoda; Insecta; Hymenoptera; Vespidae
Source: RefSeq, a predicted model, not a curated record